AACGCACAUUGCGCCCGCUAGUAUUCUGGCGGGCAUGCCUGUUCGAGCGUCAUUUCAACCCUCAAGCUCUGCUUGGUGUUGGGAAUCGGCGUAGCGGCCUUCGGGCAGCUGCCGUUCCCUAAAUCUAGUGGCGGUCCCGCUUUAGCGUCCUCUGCGUAGUAGUUUUCUCCUCGCACCGGCAGCUUAGUGGCGACCUCGCCGUAAAACCCCCAACUUCUGAAAGGUUGACCUCGAAUCAGGUAGGAAUACCCGCUGAACUUAA
Molecule: unclassified non-coding RNA, 262 nt
Filed under: uncultured fungus
Lineage: Eukaryota; Fungi
Description: sequence contains ITS2
Source: RNAcentral